Molecule: signal recognition particle RNA, 297 nt
Filed under: Aotus nancymaae (Ma's night monkey)
Lineage: Eukaryota; Metazoa; Chordata; Mammalia; Primates; Aotidae
Description: Metazoan signal recognition particle RNA (ENSANAG00000001341.1)
Rfam family: Metazoan signal recognition particle RNA
About the family: The signal recognition particle (SRP) is a universally conserved ribonucleoprotein. It is involved in the co-translational targeting of proteins to membranes.
Source: RNAcentral
GCCAGGCGCGGUGGUGCGUGUGUGUAGUCCCAGCUACUCAGAAGGCUGAGCCUGGAGAAUCGCUUGAGCCCAGGAGUUCUGGGCUGUAGUGUGCUAUGCUGAUCGGGUGUCCGCACUAAGUUUGGCAUCAAUAUGGUGACCUCCAGGGAGCGGGGAACCACCAGGUUGCCUAAGGAGGGGUGAACCGGCCCAGCAGAAACGGAGCAGGUCAAAACUCCUAUGCCGAUCAGUAGUGGGAUUGCACCUGUGAAUAGCCACCACACUCCAGCCUGGGCAACAUAGCGAGACCCUGUCUCU